This 694-nucleotide ribosomal RNA is filed under the name uncultured archaeon. Its description in RNAcentral is "bacterial SSU rRNA". It matches the Rfam family "Archaeal small subunit ribosomal RNA", at positions 162 to 859 of the family's 1478-position model. The record is from RNAcentral.
CAUCACUUCUGGAGUGGGGUAUGACUUAAAUCUAUAUGGCCCCUGGAUUGGACUGCGGCCGAUCAGGCUGUUGGUGAGGUAAUGGCCCACCAAACCUGUAACCGGUACGGGCUCUGAGAGGAGGAGCCCGGAGAUGGGCACUGAGACAAGGGCCCAGGCCCUAUGGGGCGCAGCAGGCGCGAAACCUCUGCAAUAGGCGAAAGCUUGACAGGGUUACUCUGAGUGAUUUCCGUUAAGGAGAUCUUUUGGCACCUCUAAAAAUGGUGCAGAAUAAGGGGUGGGCAAGUCUGGUGUCAGCCGCCGCGGUAAUACCAGCACCCCGAGUGGUCGGGACGUUUAUUGGGCCUAAAGCAUCCGUAGCCGGUUCUACAAGUCUUCCGUUAAAUCCACCUGCUUAACAGAUGGGCUGCGGAAGAUACUAUAGAGCUAGGAGGCGGGAGAGGCAAGCGGUACUCGAUGGGUAGGGGUAAAAUCCGUUGAUCCACUGAAGACCACCAGUGGCGAAGGCGGCUUGCCAGAACGCGCUCGACGGUGAGGGAUGAAAGCUGGGGGAGCAAACCGGAUUAGAUACCCGGGUAGUCCCAGCUGUGAACGAUGCAGACUCGGUGAUGAGUUGGCUUAUUGCUAACUCAGUGCCGCAGGGAAGCCGUUAAGUUUGCCGCCUGGGGAGUACGGUCGCAAGACUGAAACUUAA